GAAAGGUGGGGGAGGGGGGAGGGGGGAAGCUGGUAGUAUUGCUGGAUUCUAAUAACUGCUAACACAGGGAGUGCAAGAGUAACUCCAGUGGAAGUGAAAGGAUAAAUAAAUCUGCAAGGCUCUUCAUGCUCUGACUGCUGCCUUCUGACUGACUUUAUGAUGACCUGUUCCAGCUAUGCUCACUUCAUUGUGACUCCCCAAAGACUUCAUGCUAUCAUUUCACUUUGACCAUACAAAUCUCCAUUAAAAAGAAAGGUGGUAAACGAUGUGGAAUGGUUUAAAUAAUAUAGGAAUCAUCUUUUGUCAAUUCCGGUCAGCCAGCCUGGAACACACCUGUACUCAGCACAGCUACAGAAGAAUGAGAAUAAUUUGAAAUCGAGAACCUCCACUGUUCUUGGAGGAGAAGACACAGUUCCAUAUCAUUAUGGUAAAGUCUCUGAGGAACAAAGGAAUCGGAGACAGGUCCAUUUGCUUUCUAACACGUAUGUAACAGGACCCGCAAUAAUGCUGUGGCUGUAGUAUCUCUUUUGAAUUAUGUCAGAGUCACUGAAGUCUUCUGGCACCAGCUUGUGAAAAGGACAACAUGCUGAAUAGUGAGAAAUGGAGGAGAGGUGUGAUUUAUUGUCAGAGAGAGAAGCACAGAAGCAUAACUCUUCUUCCUGACAGAUGCUCCAGCCGAUGACACAGAGGCGAGUAACAGCAUUGUUAUAGAAAUUUGGCCAACUGCUUUAGGCACCAUCUGCUCAUUUUCCCCCAGAAGAGUAAUCCCUUUCAAAGGUUGAAGGGGAAGUUAAAAAGGCUGCUCAGGCACUUGGCAAAUUUCUUUCGAUUUCCAGAAUUGUGAGUCACUCAAGUGUAACUCAAAGAAGAGUUAACCUCAAACAGGGCAAGGGCCAUCAGAGCUGAACCAGACCAAAAAAAUUUAAAAUAAAAAAAUUCUAAGUGA
RNAcentral lists this long non-coding RNA (946 nucleotides) under Equus asinus (donkey). Its description in RNAcentral is "lncRNA (ENSEASG00005028143.1)". Lineage: Eukaryota; Metazoa; Chordata; Mammalia; Perissodactyla; Equidae. The record is from RNAcentral.